RNAcentral lists this ribosomal RNA (424 nucleotides) under uncultured bacterium. RNAcentral describes it as "bacterial SSU rRNA". It matches the Rfam family "Bacterial small subunit ribosomal RNA", at positions 355 to 776 of the family's 1533-position model. The record is from RNAcentral.
UAGGGAAUAUUGGGCAAUGGAUGCAAGUCUGACCCAGCCAUGCCGCGUGCCGGAAGAAGGCCCUCAGGGUUGUAAACGGCUUUUAUUCGGGAAGAAGAGCAGGGAUGCGUCCUUGUGUGACGGUACCGAAUGAAUAAGCACCGGCUAACUCCGUGCCAGCAGCCGCGGUAAUACGGAGGGUGCGAGCGUUGUCCGGAUUUAUUGGGUUUAAAGGGUGCGUAGGUGGCUGUUUAAGUCAGUGGUGAAAUACAGCCGCUCAACGGUUGAGGUGCCAUUGAUACUGAAUAGCUUGAAAUAAUUGGAGGCUGCCGGAAUGGAUGGUGUAGCGGUGAAAUGCAUAGAUAUCAUCCAGAACACCGAUUGCGAAGGCAGGUGGCUACGAUUUAUUUGACACUGAGGCACGAAAGCAUGGGGAGCAAACAGG